This 63-nucleotide transfer RNA is filed under the name Limnius volckmari. Its description in RNAcentral is "tRNA-Arg". Lineage: Eukaryota; Metazoa; Arthropoda; Insecta; Coleoptera; Elmidae. The record is from RNAcentral.
GAGUAAGAAGCGAUAUAUUGCACUCAGUUUCGACCUGACCUUAGGUAAUUUUACCCUUAUUCU